UUAUCAUAUACACGAUAAAAUUACUCAAAUAUUAAGAAACUGUAUACAUGUAAUGACUACAUUUGGUGCAUUUUGAAUGUUAACACAGAACUGCACUGGGAACAAAAACCAUUAAGACUAGGAGAAUCCGUAAUACCUGUGUAACGUCGGUCUUAGACAGGGUAUCUACUGUUACAUUCCAGGUUUAGAGUUUAUAUCCCCUGAGACCUAAACUGUAUAUAGUAUUCAAGUCUUAGACAAGAUAUAUAAUGUGAUAUUUAAGGCUGCGAGUUUAUAUUACCUGAGACGACUGCGGAGGGGAUUUAAACCUUAAGUCGGCAAUACGACA
RNAcentral lists this long non-coding RNA (328 nucleotides) under Mytilus galloprovincialis (Mediterranean mussel). The record is from RNAcentral. Lineage: Eukaryota; Metazoa; Mollusca; Bivalvia; Mytilida; Mytilidae.